UACGUAGGGGGCUAGCGUUGUCCGGAAUCAUUGGGCGUAAAGCGCGUGUAGGCGGCCCGGUAAGUCCGCUGUGAAAGUCGGGGGCUCAACCCUCGGAUGCCGGUGGAUACUGUCGGGCUCGAGUACGGAAGAGGAGUGUGGAAUUCCCGGUGUAGCGGUGAAAUGCGCAGAUAUCGGGAAGAACACCCGUGGCGAAGGCGGCACUCUGGGACGGUACUGACGCUGAGACGCGAAAGCGUGGGGAGCGAACAGG
This 253-nucleotide ribosomal RNA is filed under the name uncultured bacterium. RNAcentral describes it as "partial 16S ribosomal RNA". It matches the Rfam family "Bacterial small subunit ribosomal RNA", at positions 524 to 776 of the family's 1533-position model. The record is from RNAcentral.